This is a long non-coding RNA of Corvus hawaiiensis (hawaiian crow), 561 nucleotides long. RefSeq lists it as uncharacterized. Lineage: Eukaryota; Metazoa; Chordata; Aves; Passeriformes; Corvidae. The record is from RefSeq and is a predicted model, not a curated record. The transcript has 2 exons.
AGGGAGCGGGGUGGGAAGGGAGCGGGAGUGGAGUGGGACGGGAGCGGGAGUGAAGCACAGCUUUAAAAGAAACCUAAAGAUUUGAGUUCUGGGCGAGCUGUGUUGAGAUGAGUUGGGAUAGGAAGGAUUCGGGCCCAGCGAGAGUUAAUUAAAAUAGUUCCGAGAGCUGGACCUGAAAGGGGUUUCAAGGUGUCAGUAAUUGAUUAGAGCAGAACCAUGGAUCAGCUGUGUAGGGAACGAGGACAAUUCCCAGUUUUCCCCCUCGGUGGGAACCCGGCCAAAAGUCACGCAAGAGGGAAUUUGGAGGCCACUGAAGUAAUUAGGAUUGUUAAAGCUCAGAAAGGCAAAAAGAUCGAAGUGAGGAAGAUGAGUUACUUCAUCUUUUUUUUUUGGACCACCGACCCAAUUCGAGACCACCGACCCAAUUCAGAGCACGCAUUAAUGACAUUUGAGCUCAUUUGCAUACGAAGCGGAGAACGGGAGGUGUUGAUGUUAUGAAUAUGCAUUUGUAUUUUGGAUAUUCAUAAUUUUGGUAAAUAAAAAGCUUUGUGUUUGCUUGCA